AUGAAGAGACUUUUGAGGGGCUCGUCGAGCCGAAGCUCUAAGGAAAAACAAAAGGAAGAAGAGGAGAAGCCCAAAUUUAAUUUACCUCGCACCACGGAGGUCCGGCCUUGUGAAUGGCCUUCCGAUGACUUCUUGAGGAGAGCUGGGAUUCAUGAAGAUUUCUAUUUAUUGAUUGAGAAUGCUGGCCUCACCAACUUCCUCCAUGACCAAUGUCAUCAGUAUCUCUUACUCACAAAUACUUUUGUGCAAAACUUCUACUUUUUCCCUAAGAAAUCACCUCCAACAAUAGAGUUUCAUUAUAUGACGUUGCUAAAGAGAUGA
This 321-nucleotide ribosomal RNA is filed under the name Triticum aestivum (bread wheat). RNAcentral's name for it is "partial small subunit ribosomal RNA". The record is from RNAcentral. Lineage: Eukaryota; Viridiplantae; Streptophyta; Magnoliopsida; Poales; Poaceae.